AUUGAACGCUGGUGGCAUGCUUUACACAUGCAAGUCGAACGGCAGCGCGGGCUUCGGCCUGGCGGCGAGUGGCGAACGGGUGAGUAAUACAUCGGAACGUGCCCAGCAGUGGGGAUAGCUCGGCGAAAGCCGGACUAAUACCGCAAACGACCUGAGGGUGAAAGCGGGGGAUCUUCGGAUCUCGCGCGAUUUUAGCGGCCGAUGGCAGAUUAGCUAGUUGGUGGGGUAAAGGCCUACCAAGGCGACGAUCUGUAGCUGGUCUGAGAGGACGACCAGCCACACUGGAACUGAGACACGGCCCAGACUCCUACGGGAGGCAGCAGUGGGGAAUUUUGGACAAUGGGCGAAAGCCUGAUCCAGCAAUGCCGCGUGUGUGAUGAAGGCCUUCGGGUUGUAAAGCACUUUUGGCGGGGACGAAAAGGACUGUGCCAAUACCACGGUUCGAUGACGGUACCCGCAGAAUAAGCACCGGCUAACUACGUG
RNAcentral lists this ribosomal RNA (483 nucleotides) under uncultured bacterium. RNAcentral's name for it is "partial 16S ribosomal RNA". It matches the Rfam family "Bacterial small subunit ribosomal RNA", at positions 29 to 507 of the family's 1533-position model. The record is from RNAcentral.